UACGAAGGGGGCUAGCGUUGUUCGGAAUCACUGGGCGUAAAGGGCGCGUAGGCGGCCGUUCAAAUCGGGGGUGAAAGCCUGUGGCUCAACCACAGAAUUGCCUUCGAUACUGGACGGCUCGAGACCGGAAGAGGUCAGUGGAACUGCGAGUGUAGAGGUGAAAUUCGUAGAUAUUCGCAAGAACACCAGUGGCGAAGGCGGACUGACUGGUCCGGUUCUGACGCUGAGGCGCGAAAGCGUGGGGGAGCAAACAGG
RNAcentral lists this ribosomal RNA (255 nucleotides) under uncultured bacterium. RNAcentral describes it as "partial 16S ribosomal RNA". It matches the Rfam family "Bacterial small subunit ribosomal RNA", at positions 524 to 776 of the family's 1533-position model. The record is from RNAcentral.